RNAcentral lists this ribosomal RNA (253 nucleotides) under uncultured bacterium. RNAcentral's name for it is "partial 16S ribosomal RNA". It matches the Rfam family "Bacterial small subunit ribosomal RNA", at positions 524 to 776 of the family's 1533-position model. The record is from RNAcentral.
UACAGAGGUCUCAAGCGUUGUUCGGAUUCAUUGGGCGUAAAGGGUGCGUAGGCGGCGCGGUAAGUCGGGUGUGAAAUCUCGGAGCUUAACUCCGAAACUGCAUUCGAUACUGCCGUGCUUGAGGACUGGAGAGGAGACUGGAAUUUACGGUGUAGCGGUGAAAUGCGUAGAUAUCGUAAGGAAGACCAGUGGCGAAGGCGGAUCUCUGGACAGUUCCUGACACUGAGGCACGAAGGCCAGGGGAGCAAACGGG